RNAcentral lists this long non-coding RNA (3121 nucleotides) under Capra hircus (goat). RNAcentral's name for it is "lncRNA (ENSCHIG00010016502.1)". The record is from RNAcentral. Lineage: Eukaryota; Metazoa; Chordata; Mammalia; Artiodactyla; Bovidae.
CCUAAAUAUGUGCACUGAUGAGCUAGCAGCACACUUUGUACUUCAUGCAGCUACCCACAGUUCAGAUACCAGGGUGACUGAAAUCUGAACCAUGUUGCUAGAGGGGACUGGUUUUAUUUAACUAAACUCAAUUGUGGCGACUGAAAUUCACAUACAUUGGAACCCUACAAAAUGCGGACUACCUGUAGUAUCUUUGGGUUUCUUGGCACUGGGACUUGCACACGUGUAACAGUGAAAUGGUUGCACAUUUUAAAGAAGCCAACAUUGAUUUUAUUUUGCCAAGUUGUUUUUUUCCCCAUUGUGUAAAAUAGUAGGGUGUGGCCACAGAGAGCAUUAUUGUUUAAUCAUUUCAUUAACAAUCCAGCCCACGUAUCUUUUCUCCUCACCCCAUGGACCUGCUCUUUUAGGAUAAUUCCAUCUCGCUCAUCAAGUAGUAGUGAAGAUAUUUCCUGUCUUCAUGAAAAACACUUCCAUCUUCUCCCUGCCCCAGGAAGGAAAUGCAGAGAAUGCUUAUCCAUCACAACAGGAUGUAGAGCUGUGUACCUGGGUCCUCCCCCAUGUUUCAGAUUUAAUGCAGUCACAACCCAGGCACAAUUCUAAGCAAUAUGCCAUAUGUGCGGUUCCCAAGAGAAAUCAGAAAAAAUCUGCAGGAAGUUAGGCAGGGCGGCAAGCCCUAAAGACAUUGAAUAUUCUUUGCCAUAAUAUUCCACUUCCUUUGUGGUUUUCAUGGAAUUUAGUAUAUACCUUUGUGUGGGGGGUGGGGAGCGUGGGGGGAGGUUUGAGGAGUGUGGAAUCUGUAUUUGUCUCAUCCUGGUGCAGAUGUUAAAGAGAGAAAAAGAACAUCAAGAGCUAGAGGUGCAUGAAAAGGGAAGAGCUAGGGCUGUCAGGAUCAGAGUGCAUCCUAAGAUCAUCAUGGUUGGACAAAAGUGUGUAGUAAGAGGAAUGUGUCUUAGGGGGCAUAUCCCAGAGGCUGAUCCUGAAUGCAAGUAGUUUAUGUGGGUGGUCACACCAGGAAGACCAGGAGGGUGGGGAGACGAACCACGGGAAGCAAGGAAGCAAUACAUAAUAUGUCAAUGAGCUGGUUUCUAAUGUGGGAAACCAGAGCUCCAUCACCCUGGGGAUGGACGUCUGUGGAACCGUAGAGAACACAUCUCAGGACUGUCUCUCAAGAGACAAGAUAGCUGUUGAAGCCAGCUCAGCCUCCUGGUUGAGAACAACUGGCUAUCUUUUAAAUUCUCAGCACUUAUGAUCUGCCCUGCAUGUAGCAGAACACAUCCUGAGAGGCCAGAGGGAGGCUAGAGACAGAGUCACAAAUGCUUGCAAAAAAUACUCAUCUGAAGUUUAUGAAGGUAGGGUAUCAAGAGUACCCACUAUUGGGCUCUAACUGUGGUCUAGGCACCGUUCUAAGAACUUCACACGUAUUAACUCACGAAUACAGGCAAGCCUACAACAAACUGCAAAGUGGACACUAUUAUCAUCUUUUUAUAAAUUAGGCACAGAGAAGUAACUUGACCAAGCUCACAGUCUAGGAAGUUGCAGAGGAAACAAUGAUAAUGAGUAUGCCAAAGCUUCAUGUAACCUCUAUACCAUAUUGCCAACGCCCCCUGCGAUGACUGCUUGAUUGUCUCUAUUUCCUUUAUUUUUCCACAAACUCUCUUGGAUUUUUAAGGCUUUACUGUAUGGCUGUGGAAUAGCUUCAUUUUUUAAUAGGAUAAAUGAAGAACAUUUAGUGGAGCAAGGCAUUUUACAAGCAGGGUCUGCAAGGUACCAGCCGACUCUGGACAGGAUACCAGAGCUUAUAUAUUAGAAAGAACCACUCUUUUCUUACUGAAGCCACUUUGUUUGGGAAUCUUGUCAUCACAGUGGCCCAAUCUAUAUCGUAACUAGCACACAGGACAGUGUCGGAGUUUUAGUUACAGCUCCCAGACACCAAACCCAAAAGAAGAAAGGUGGGCCCAGCACUGCCUGAGACCUCACACUGGAGGUGCUGAGUUAGCAUCUGUAUACUGGCGUUCCUGCCCUAGUUGGGCUGGUCGUGCAUGUCUCCUCUCCUGCGUUGACUAAAAGAGGGCUCAGCCUCUUCUAGAAUUUCCUUUCCUUGUGCAGGGAGCUGGUACAAGAGCCAACACGAUUAAGCUCUCCCUGGCUUCUCCACGAGUCACUGCUUGAUUCUGAGUCUGCCUCACCAAACCAGUCCUGAGGUCUCUGUGCCCAGAGCUGUCAGCAAACCUCCCACUCCCUGUUUGUGUUGGCUUGUCUCACCGUGCCAUGCUGGAGGUGUCGGCUAAAGCUGUUUACUGGCUUCAUUUAAAAACACCUUAAGGUGUUCUUAAAAUUCUGCUUUGAGCAGCGAUACAGACAGGGACGUCAAUGAGGCCAGAAAGUAAUGGAGAUAAAUAGAACAUAACAAAAUUGUAAUAAAACCAAAGAGGAAAACACACAGGAACUUGUGAAAAAAAAAAGUGGUAUGUUAUUUAAACCCAGUUUUACACAAACACACAUAUAUACAUAUAUGCAUGUGAGUCCUUGUAUGUGUGCGUGCUCAGUCACUUCAGUCAUGUCCAACUCUUUGCAACCCCAUGGACCGUAGCCCGCCAGGCUCCUCUGUNNNNNNNNNNNNNNNNNNNNNNNNNNNNNNNNNNNNNNNNNNNNNNNNNNNNNNNNNNNNNNNNNNNNNNNNNNNNNNNNNNNNNNNNNNNNNNNNNNNCUCUGUCCAUGGGAUUCUCCAGGCAAGAACCCUGGAAUGGGUUGCCAUGCCCUCGUCAAGGGGAUCUUCCUGACCCAGGAAUCGAACUGUGUCCUUUGAGUCUCCUGCAUUGGCAGGUAUAUUCUUUACCACUAGCGUCACUUGUAUAUAUGCACACAUAUAAAUGUAUACAUACACCAGUGUAUAAUUUCAGGAGAUCUUAUCAUUUUUAUGGAGCUCAUCCUUCCAUCCAUACUACAGGACAUGUCCUAGGCUAAGUGCAACUCCACAGCACAUACUUUUAGGCUAAAACAACAACUGAAAAACAAUAGACAAAAUAUUCAUUUAAUAUGCUUGAAAAAUAACAGCAACUAAAAUCAGAUUCUUAUUGCAACAGCCACACAUGAGCUUCCCUGCUGACUUCUGUAGGGCCAG